This 240-nucleotide ribosomal RNA is filed under the name uncultured bacterium. RNAcentral describes it as "partial 16S ribosomal RNA". It matches the Rfam family "Bacterial small subunit ribosomal RNA", at positions 796 to 1041 of the family's 1533-position model. The record is from RNAcentral.
CACGCAGUAAACGAUGAUUACUAGCUGUUUGCGAUACACAGUAAGCGGCACAGCGAAAGCGUUAAGUAAUCCACCUGGGGAGUACGCCGGCAACGGUGAAACUCAAAGGAAUUGACGGGGGCCCGCACAAGCGGAGGAACAUGUGGUUUAAUUCGAUGAUACGCGAGGAACCUUACCCGGGCUUGAAUUGCAGAGGAACAUAGUUGAAAGAUUAUGGCCGCAAGGUCUCUGUGAAGGUGC